Molecule: ribosomal RNA, 118 nt
Filed under: Propionibacterium sp. 434-HC2
Lineage: Bacteria; Bacillati; Actinomycetota; Actinomycetes; Propionibacteriales; Propionibacteriaceae
Source: RNAcentral
UCCGGUGGCCAUAGUGGAAGGGAAACACCCGGUCCCAUUCCGAACCCGGUCGUUAAGCCUUCCAACGCUGAUGGUACUGCACGAGGGGAUCGUGUGGGAGAGUAAGACGCUGCCGGAA